AUUGAACGCUGGCGGAAUGCUUUACACAUGCAAGUCGAGCGGCAGCACGGGGGCAACCCUGGUGGCGAGCGGCGAACGGGUGAGUAAUACAUCGGAACAUGCCCAGUCGUGGGGGAUAACACUUCGAAAGAAGUGCUAAUACCGCAUACGUCCUGAGGGAGAAAGCGGGGGAUCGCAAGACCUCGCGCGAUUGGAGUGGCCGAUGUCAGAUUAGCUAGUUGGUGGGGUAAAGGCCUACCAAGGCAACGAUCUGUAGCUGGUCUGAGAGGAUGAUCAGCCACACUGGGACUGAGACACGGCCCAGACUCCUACGGGAGGCAGCAGUGGGGAAUUUUGGACAAUGGGGGCAAACCUGAUCCAGCCAUUCCGCGUGAGUGAAGAAGGCCUUCGGGUUGUAAAGCUCUUUCGGCAGGAACGAAACGGCGAGCUCUAACAUAGCUUGCUAAUGACGGUACCUGAAGAAGAAGCACCGGCUAACUACGUG
Molecule: ribosomal RNA, 484 nt
Filed under: uncultured bacterium
Lineage: Bacteria
Description: partial 16S ribosomal RNA
Rfam family: Bacterial small subunit ribosomal RNA
Source: RNAcentral